UCUCAGUGAUGCAAUGCCAGCGGACCCUUCUGACCCUCCCCUGUGGACUCAGGACCAGGGACAUGAAGAGGAAAGUGACUGAGAGA
Molecule: small nucleolar RNA, 86 nt
Organism: Myotis lucifugus (little brown bat)
Lineage: Eukaryota; Metazoa; Chordata; Mammalia; Chiroptera; Vespertilionidae
Source: Ensembl